CUAUGUGUUGUUGGGUAGGGGAGCGUUCUGUAAGCCUGUGAAGGUGUACUGUGAGGUAUGCUGGAGGUAUCAGAAGUGCGAAUGCUGACAUAAGUAACGAUAAAGCGGGUGAAAAGCCCGCUCGCCGGAAGACCAAGGGUUCCUGUCCAACGUUAAUCGGGGCAGGGUGAGUCGACCCCUAAGGCGAGGCCGAAAGGCGUAGUCGAUGGGAAACAGGUUAAUAUUCCUGUACUUGGUGUUACUGCGAAGGGGGGACGGAGAAGGCUAUGUUGGCCGGGCGACGGUUGUCCCGGUUUAAGCGUGUAGGCUGGUUUUCCAGGCAAAUCCGGAAAAUCAAGGCUGAGGCGUGAUGACGAGGCACUACGGUGCUGAAGCAACAAAUGCCCUGCUUCCAGGAAAAGCCUCUAAGCAUCAGGUAACAUCAAAUCGUACCCCAA
This 437-nucleotide ribosomal RNA is filed under the name Escherichia coli. RNAcentral's name for it is "partial 23S ribosomal RNA". It matches the Rfam family "Bacterial large subunit ribosomal RNA", at positions 1214 to 1652 of the family's 2925-position model. Lineage: Bacteria; Pseudomonadati; Pseudomonadota; Gammaproteobacteria; Enterobacterales; Enterobacteriaceae. The record is from RNAcentral.